CUACUUCUCUGUAUGGCAAAGGGUGAGAUAUCCAUCCUCUGAGACUCACCACUCUCAUCUGACUUGAUUUCCAGUUGAUCCGAUGGAAGUGAGUGAUGAUUAAGCUGAUCGUGGGUGCCCGCUGCGUGAUCUCUAGGUGACGGAUGCAUAAAGUAAAGGCAAAAUGAAUUUUAGAUAUAUUCCUUAAGAUUUUCAGCUUCAACUCCACACAAU
RNAcentral lists this long non-coding RNA (213 nucleotides) under Homo sapiens (human). Its description in RNAcentral is "non-protein coding lnc-DEFB131B-6:1". The record is from RNAcentral. Lineage: Eukaryota; Metazoa; Chordata; Mammalia; Primates; Hominidae.